GAAAUGCGAUAAUUAAUGUGAAUUGCAGAAUUCAGUGAAUCAUCGAGUCUUUGAACGCACAUUGCGCCCCCUGGUAUUCCGGGGGGCAUGCCUGUCCGAGCGUCAUUGCUGCCCUCAAGCACGGCUUGUGUGUUGGGCUUCCGUCCCUGGCAACGGGGACGGGCCCAAAAGGCAGUGGCGGCACCAUGUCUGGUCCUCGAGCGUAUGGGGCUUUGUCACCCGCUCCCGUAGGUCCAGCUGGCAGCUAGCCUCGCAACCAAUCUUUUUAACCAGGUUGACCUCGGAUCAGGUAGGGAUACCCGCAGAACUUAAGC
RNAcentral lists this unclassified non-coding RNA (314 nucleotides) under plant metagenome. RNAcentral describes it as "partial contains 5.8S ribosomal RNA, internal transcribed spacer 2, and large subunit ribosomal RNA". The stretch from base 1 to 105 matches the Rfam family "5.8S ribosomal RNA", at positions 50 to 154 of the family's 154-position model. The record is from RNAcentral.